UUCCUGGUGGUCUAGUGGCAAAGACUCUACGCUCCCAGUGCAGGGACCUGGGUUCAAUCCCUGGUUGGGGAA
This 72-nucleotide transfer RNA is filed under the name Capra hircus (goat). It matches the Rfam family "tRNA". From Rfam's summary of the family: Transfer RNA (tRNA) molecules are approximately 80 nucleotides in length. RNAcentral also lists the same sequence under 1 other name. Lineage: Eukaryota; Metazoa; Chordata; Mammalia; Artiodactyla; Bovidae. The record is from Rfam by way of RNAcentral.